CAGCGCCACGAGUGGGGAUCAUCUUUAUUUGGCCUAAAGCGUCCGUAGCUGGUUUAGUAAAUCUCUUGUGAAAUCGUUAAGCUUAACUUAACGGCGUGCAGGAGAGACUGCUAGACCAGGGACCGGGAGGAGUCAGAGGUAUGCUGGGGGGAGCGGUAAAAUGCUAUAAUCCUCGGUAGACCGCCUGUGGCGAAGGCGUCUGACUAGAACGGGUCCGACAGUGAGGGACGAAAGCCAGGGGAGCAAACCGGAUUAGAUACCCGUGUAGUCC
Molecule: ribosomal RNA, 271 nt
Filed under: uncultured archaeon
Lineage: Archaea
Description: partial 16S ribosomal RNA
Rfam family: Archaeal small subunit ribosomal RNA
Source: RNAcentral